UACGGAGGGGGCAAGCGUUGUUCGGAAUUACUGGGCGUAAAGGGCGCGCAGGCGGCUGCUCAAGUCAGGCGUGAAAGGCCUGGGCUCAACCCGGGAAUUGCGCUUGAGACUGGGCUGGCUUGAGUGCGGGAGAGGAUGGUGGAAUUCCCAGUGUAGAGGUGAAAUUCGUAGAUAUUGGGAAGAACACCGGUGGCGAAGGCGGCCAUCUGGACCGCAACUGACGCUGAGGCGCGAAAGCAUGGGGAGCAAACAGG
This 254-nucleotide ribosomal RNA is filed under the name uncultured bacterium. Its description in RNAcentral is "partial 16S ribosomal RNA". It matches the Rfam family "Bacterial small subunit ribosomal RNA", at positions 524 to 776 of the family's 1533-position model. The record is from RNAcentral.